This 3273-nucleotide long non-coding RNA is filed under the name Homo sapiens (human). RNAcentral describes it as "HSALNT0252536". Lineage: Eukaryota; Metazoa; Chordata; Mammalia; Primates; Hominidae. The record is from RNAcentral.
CUCAAUACUGUUAAGAUAAACAUUUUCUGCAAAUUAAGCAAUAGAUUAAGCUCAAGGCUAUUCAAAGUUAUAGCUGACUUAAAAAUUACUAAUGCACAAGCAGACAAUAAAAUAUAUAUGGUAUAGAAAAUAACCUAGACUAGCCAAAUAAUUUUGAAGGGCAACAAAGUCUGAGAACUUAGUGUACUAUAAUGCUACAGUAGUCAUGAAGAAAAUAUACGUGUAGAUCUUCUCAAAAAAAUACAGCACAACGUGGGCAACAGUUUCUGUAUGACACAAAAUGAAUUUUACUGGAAAUGAACUUCUAAACAGAAACCAACAUCACAGCAAUGUCUUUACGCCAAAAAAAAAAAAAAAAAAAAAAAAAGAUAAAAGAGAGAUACUGGCCUGUUGAUGGAAAUGAAGGACCAAUUUUAGAGCAAUUUUAUAGUAACUUCUGGAAUUUAUUUUUAACCUUUAUUGAAAAUGAAACAACUAAUCUGGUAAUAUCAAAAUCCAUCUUCAAAGUUUCACUUGUAGUCAGUUCCAGCAAUGUGUCUUUAAAGCAUUGGAGCAAGAUGGUGGAACUCGAUAUCUCUGGGUAUCACUUCUCCCACAAAAAUACAACUAGGAACUAUUCAAGAACAAGAAUAUUUCCUUCAGUUCAACAGAACCUGCGGAGGAAGUAAAGAAAUGCCCUGAUCUCGCAAGACUGAGAGGAACCACAACAGGUAAAAAUAUUUUUUAUAUAUGUUGCUGUCAUCAGAGAGGAUCAGCAAUGCAUCAACAAUACAGAGAUAUCUAAGAGAUUGGCGUAAUAUCUGACUUCAGUAAAUGUGUCUUAUUCUUUCUCGUUUUUCUCCUCAAUGCUGUCAAUAAACAGUUUUAUAGAGCUUGAUUAUUCUAAAGUCCUUUGUUCUGUAUUUUCCUGUUUGCCCAAUGUUGAGCCAAUUCAGUGGUAAUCUGUAACUAGAAAAAUAAUUGGGAAAAGAUUAACUUUGCUAUUUAUUUCAAUUUUUUCUCUUAGAGUGAAUUAAUACUAAAAAACAGUUCUGAAUCAAAUUAAUCAAAUUUGUGAAUAUCCCAUUGCUAAUGUAUUUGGAUUUGUUUCCACAAAAAUAAGAAGAAACACCAUAUGCCAUGCAGAAAAUUAGCCAGCCAGUAGCUCAAUGUGAUAUUGCAUAAUCCAGCUAUGUGCAUUGAGUAUAUAAAUUUGAAAUAUUUCCCUAACCAAAAAGUUCUAAAUUAACUGAAAUAUUCAUUUUGGAAAGGAGAAACUGAAGGAAAAUACUCAUAUCUUAUGUUUAUCAUACUAAAAGCAAGUUUAAUUACAAUCUCAUUUAUUUAUUAAAUAAUUAUGCAUUACCUACUAUUGUCAGAAUUCUAGAAUACACACAGUUACAGAAGUGGACAAAUGAUGCAAAGCUGUUAUUUUCUUGAAGCUUGUGCAUUUUGCUGAAUAGAGAGACAAAUCUGAGUUAAAAGCGUGAAAUAUCGGAAAUGAUUAUGAAAUAUAAAAGAAAAAAUAUUACUUGAGUAUUUUAUAUGGUUAUAUGAAAGAUUUUGUAAUAAAGUGCAAUAAAUAAAAUAAAAAAUAAAGUAAAUAAAGUGCAAUAAAUAAAAUAAAUAAAGUAAAGUAGUACAAAUCCGAAGGACAUAUAAGGGUGAACUAUUUGAUGACUUGGGGAAAAAAAGCACUUCUAGCUAAGAGAACAAAACCUAUAAAAACUUUGAGGCAGGACUGUCCUUUCUAUCUUUAAGGAACAUCAAGAAAACAACGUCUGUGGAAUGAGGUUAAUGAUGCUGGGAAGAAAUUGGGUAAGAAAAGUUAUACAGGUAACUGGGGCCAAGAUCAAGUGUUAUCUUGCACAACAUUGUAUGAAUUUUAUCUUUUCUUUGAAUAAAGUGAGAAGCCAUUGGAGGGUCUCAAAUGAGGGGAGAGACAAGUGUGUGUAGUAGAUUAAGGAGGGGGUGCAUGAAGCACACUUGAGAAGCUAUUAAAUGAGGAAUGCCUGUGACUUCUUCAGUGUGGUGAUGGAGGAUAUGAGAGGCAAUAUUCCACUUUGGUAAAUAUUUCAAAAACAAACAGCAUGUGUUGGUGGUUUGAAUAAGCGAUGUGAGAGAACGAAGGAGCUCAAUAAUUGUUUUAAUGUGUGUAUGACCUGAGUAAAUAAAAGCCUGAAGGAACAAUGGAAGAAGAUGGAGAGGAAAGAAUGUCUGAAAAACGAAAGUUAAAGUAUUUAUUUUGGAUUACUUAAAUAUGGCAUGUCAGUGGUGUGCUGAACUCCUCUUGUAUUAUUUCUUGCAAGAAACUAUUCUUAAUUUUCAAAAAUUUGACAACCUAGUUCUUAAAUUCUGUCACUAUUAAAAAUUAAAUUAGAUGAUUUGCAAGUAAAUAAAUUAUAGUCAAAAUAAAUAUUCAAAGCUCAUUGCCUAUUAGUUAUUUUAAUUCAUUUUACUUUUAUCGAUGCUAUUAAGGUUCAUGCCUAUUUUUUCAUAUGGUGAUUGAUAUUGUUUGUGUCCCCACCCAAAUCUCAUCUUGAACUGUGGUUCCCAUAAUCCCUGCAUAUUGUGGGAGGAACUUGGUGGGAGGUAAUUGAAUCAUGGAGGCGGUUGCCCUCAUGCUGUUCUCAUGAUAGUGAGUUCUCAUGAGAUAUGAUGGUUUUAUAAGCGGCUUUUCACCCUUUGCUUGGCACUUAUCUCCCCUGCAGCCCUGUGAACAAGGAUGUGUUUGCUUCCACUUCAGCUAUGAUUGUAAGUUUCCUGAGGCCUCACUAGCUGUGAAGAAUUGUAAGUCAAUGAAACCUCUUUACUUUAUAAAUUACUCUGUCUCGGGGAGUUAUUUAUAGCACCAUGAGAACGGACUAAUACAGUGUGAGUACAACGUUAUAGUGUGCUACUGAGACUUUCUCUCCAACUCCAUUCAUUGUCACUAUACUGGACUUAAAGUAACUCAAUAUAGAUCAUUGUGGAUGCAUUUAAGCCAUGGAAUUUAAAAAAUACUAUAAAUAUCAAAACUUGAUUUUCAAUUUUCUGGAAAUAAGAAAAUGAUGGAAAAUGAUAAUAAUGGUAAUUAAACUUAAAGCUGCAUCAUGUCUAUAGCUAUUACAUUGUGAAUAGUAGAAAAAUAUUAGGGCCGGGUGCAGUGCCUCACACCUGUAAUCUCAGCAGUUUGGGAGGCCAAGGUGGGCAGCUCAUGAGGUCAGGAGAUGGAGACCAUCCUGGCUAACACGGUGAAACCCCACCUCUACGAAAAAUAGAAAGAAAAAAAAAAUUAGCCGGGCGUGGUGGUGG